CAGUCAGGAAAUUUGGUCACAGGCCACCUCUGCCUUGGCAGCUGUUUGACUUCUCAGAUUAGAUUUCUCCUCUAUGAAAUGGAAAUAAUAGUACCAAUCUCACAGAUUUCUUAUGAAGAUGAAAUGAGAUAAUUUCCAGCAGGAGGGACAGAACCACAAUUUGGUAGUAGGGAGACCUUCAACCGAAGUAACCAUGUACACUGGAAACCAAGAAAUCACCUCUAUUAUCUAGAAGUUAUUGGCCUCGUGCUCAUCUCGCAAAUUCAGGUGCCCUAUAUGUGCCAGAUAAGCUCAUCUUUAUCUGGGGAACAUGUAGAACUACGAUGAAGUAAAGGGAGAUGGAAGAAAAUUUAAUAGUUUAAGAGUAUGUCUUAUAAAAUAAUAGGUUUCAUAUUUGCCAAUGGCUGGUGAUCUCUGCAGACGGAGCCCUUGGUUUCAAGUAAAACACCUCAACCGUUUACAAGAAGGAAAGGAAUGCCAAGAACUACAGCAAAAUCUUGUCCAGACGUAAUUCCAUAGUACAGUCGGUGCUUCUAACACAAUUCCAGAAUUACAGAUCUUGUUUACUUACCCAAAAUUCAAAUAAAGGUGGAUAAUCUUUUCAGUUUUAUUGGUUAUAAAUCACCAGCUGACAAGUUACUCAACUUCUGCAAUUGUAGUAAAAUUCUAGAGCUAUCAAGAAAAGGUGGCUAGUUCAAGAACAACUAAGGAAUUGAUUCACUCUUCAGAACCUGUGCCAACUUCCUUUCUGUGGGUGAGCUAAAUAGUGGAUACCUUUUAUAGAAGGAAAGCCAUCAUCCUAUGAAGAAAACCUCUUUCUCUGCCAUGAACAAGCUGAAUGCAAUCACAG
RNAcentral lists this long non-coding RNA (850 nucleotides) under Zalophus californianus (California sea lion). RNAcentral's name for it is "lncRNA (ENSZCAG00015010312.1)". Lineage: Eukaryota; Metazoa; Chordata; Mammalia; Carnivora; Otariidae. The record is from RNAcentral.